Molecule: ribosomal RNA, 253 nt
Filed under: uncultured bacterium
Lineage: Bacteria
Description: partial 16S ribosomal RNA
Rfam family: Bacterial small subunit ribosomal RNA
Source: RNAcentral
UACGUAGGUGGCAAGCGUUGUCCGGAUUUACUGGGUGUAAAGGGCGUGCAGCCGGGCUGACAAGUCAGAUGUGAAAUCCCGCGGCUCAACCGCGGAACUGCAUUUGAAACCGUUAGUCUUGAGUACCGGAGAGGUCAUCGGAAUUCCUUGUGUAGCGGUGAAAUGCGUAGAUAUAAGGAAGAACACCAGUGGCGAAGGCGGAUGACUGGACGGCAACUGACGGUGAGGCGCGAAAGCGUGGGGAGCAAACAGG